Molecule: unclassified non-coding RNA, 179 nt
Filed under: uncultured Neofusicoccum
Lineage: Eukaryota; Fungi; Ascomycota; Dothideomycetes; Botryosphaeriales; Botryosphaeriaceae
Description: sequence contains ITS1
Source: RNAcentral
CCGAGUUGAUUCGAGCUCCGGCUCGACUCUCCCACCCUAUGUGUACCUACCUCUGUUGCUUUGGCGGGCCGCGGUCCUCCGCACCGGCCCCCCCCUUCGGGGGCUGGUCAGCGCCCGCCAGAGGACCACAAAACUCCAGUCAGUGAACGUCGCAGUCUGAAAAACAAGUUAAUAAACUA